CCUACGGGUGGCAGCAGUGAGGAAUAUUGGUCAAUGGACGCAAGUCUGAACCAGCCAUGCCGCGUGCAGGAAGACGGCUCUAUGAGUUGUAAACUGCUUUUGUACGAGGGUAAACGCAGAUACGCGUAUCUGUCUGAAAGUAUCGUACGAAUAAGGAUCGGCUAACUCCGUGCCAGCAGCCGCGGUAAUACGGAGGAUUCAAGCGUUAUCCGGAUUUAUUGGGUUUAAAGGGUGCGUAGGCGGUCGGAUAAGUUAGAGGUGAAAUCCCGAGGCUCAACUUCGGAAUUGCCGCGGAUACUGGGCGGCUAGAGAGUAGUGGCGGCAGGCGGAAUGCAUGGUGUAGCGGUGAAAUGCUUAGAGAUCAGACAGAACACCGAUUGCGAAGGCAGCUUACCAAGCUACUUCUGACGUUGAGGCACGAAAGCGUGGGGAGCAAACAGGAUUAGAUACCCUUGUAGUC
Molecule: ribosomal RNA, 460 nt
Filed under: uncultured bacterium
Lineage: Bacteria
Description: partial 16S ribosomal RNA
Rfam family: Bacterial small subunit ribosomal RNA
Source: RNAcentral